GCAGGAGUGGCCAAACGGCUAAGGCGAGCGCCUGCAGAGCGCUAGGUUGGGGGUUCGAAUCCCUCCUCCUGCU
RNAcentral lists this transfer RNA (73 nucleotides) under Candidatus Woesearchaeota archaeon. RNAcentral's name for it is "tRNA-Cys". It matches the Rfam family "tRNA". From Rfam's summary of the family: Transfer RNA (tRNA) molecules are approximately 80 nucleotides in length. Their secondary structure includes four short double-helical elements and three loops (D, anti-codon, and T loops). The record is from RNAcentral. Lineage: Archaea; Nanobdellati; Candidatus Woesearchaeota.